GCCUGUUCGAGCGUCAUUAUGACCACUCAAGCCUAGCUUGGUGUUGGGGUUCGCGUGCUCGCGGCCCUUAAAAUCAGUGGCGGUGCCGUUUGGCUCUAAGCGUAGUAAUACUCUCGCUAUUGGGUCCGGGCGGUCACUUGCCAGAAUCCCCCAUUUUUAAGGUUGACCUCGGAUCAGGUAGGGAUACCCGCUGAACUUAA
Molecule: unclassified non-coding RNA, 200 nt
Filed under: soil metagenome
Description: partial contains internal transcribed spacer 2 and large subunit ribosomal RNA
Source: RNAcentral